Molecule: ribosomal RNA, 624 nt
Filed under: uncultured bacterium
Lineage: Bacteria
Description: bacterial SSU rRNA
Rfam family: Bacterial small subunit ribosomal RNA
Source: RNAcentral
CAGGCCUAACACAUGCAAGUCGAACGAAAAGUAAAUUUCGGUUUAUGGAUUCGUGGCGGACGGGUGAGUAUAAUAUAGAAAUUUACCGAGCACUGGGGGAUAACAGUUGGAAACGACUGAUAAUACCGCAUACGCCAUAUUGGGAAAACUAAGGUGGUGUUCGAUGAGUCUAUACCGGAUUAGCUAGUUGGUAGGGUAAAGGCCUACCAAGGCGACGAUCUGUAGCUGGUUUGAGAGGAUGAUCAGCCACACUGGGACUGAGACACGGCCCAGACUCCUACGGGAGGCAGCAGUGAGGAAUAUUGCACAAUGGGCGAAAGCCUGAUGCAGCCAUGCCGCGUGAAUGAAGAAGGUUUUAGGAUUGUAAAGUUCUUUCAAUGGUGAGAAUAGUGAUGUUAACCAUAGAAGAAGUCCCGGCUAACUCCGUGCCAGCCGCCGCGGUAAUACGGAGGGGGCGAACGUUAUUCGGAUUUACUGGGCGUAAAGCGAUCGUAGGCGGAAUGUUAAGUUAGAUGUGAAAGCCCUGGGCUCAACCUAGGAAUUGCAUUUAAAACUGGCAAUCUAGAGUGUUGGAGAGGAUGACGGAAUUCCAAGUGUAGAGGUGAAAUUCGUAGAUAUUUGGAG